GACGAACGCUGGCGGCGUGCUUAACACAUGCAAGUCGAACGGUGAAGCUCCAGCUUGCUGGAGUGGAUCAGUGGCGAACGGGGGAGUAACACGUGAGCAACCUGCCCCUGACUCUGGAAUAAGCGCUGGAAACGGCGUCUAAUACUGGAUACGAGAAGGGUCCGCAUGGGCACUUUCUGGAAAGUUUUUCGGUUGGGGAUGGGCUCGCGGCCUAUCAGCUUGUUGGUGAGGUAAUGGCUCACCAAGGCGACGACGGGUAGCCGGCCUGAGAGGGCGACCGGGCACACUGGGACUGAGGGACGGCACAGACCGGUACGGGCGGCAGCAGUGGGGAAUAUUGCGCAGCGAGAGAAAGACUGAUGCAGAGACGCCGGGUGAGGAAUGACCGCAUUCGGGUUGUAAACAACUGUCAGCAGGGAAGAAGCGAGAGUGACGGUACCUGCAGAAGAAGCACCGGCUAACUACGUG
RNAcentral lists this ribosomal RNA (468 nucleotides) under uncultured bacterium. RNAcentral describes it as "partial 16S ribosomal RNA". It matches the Rfam family "Bacterial small subunit ribosomal RNA", at positions 28 to 507 of the family's 1533-position model. The record is from RNAcentral.